CCUGGUUGAUCCUGCCAGUAGUCAUAUGCUUGUCUCAAAGAUUAAGCCAUGCAUGUCUAAGUUCAAGCAAAAAUAAUGUGAAACCGCGAAUGGCUCAUUAUAUCAGUUAUGGUUCCUUAGAUCGCACUUACUACUUGGAUAACUGUGGUAAUUCUAGAGCUAAUACAUGCGUUGGACUCCGAACUUUACGGUGAGGAGUGCUUUUAUUAGAUCAAAGCCAAUCGGGUCUUCGGAUUCGUUUAGUUGGUGACUCUGAAUAACUUUGCUGAUCGCACGGUCUUGCACCGGCGACGUAUCUUUCAAGUGUCUGCCUUAUCAACUGUCGAUGGUAGGUUAUGCGCCUACCAUGGUUGUAACGGGUAACGGGGAAUCAGGGUUCGAUUCCGGAGAGGGAGCCUGAGAAACGGCUACCACAUCCAAGGAAGGCAGCAGGCGCGCAAAUUACCCACUCCCGGCACGGGGAGGUAGUGACGAAAAAUAACGAUACGGAACUCAUACGAGGCUCCGUAAUCGGAAUGAGUACACUUUAAAUCCUUUAACGAGGAUCUAUUGGAGGGCAAGUCUGGUGCCAGCAGCCGCGGUAAUUCCAGCUCCAAUAGCGUAUAUUAAAGUUGUUGUGGUUAAAAAGCUCGUAGUUGGAUCUCGGUUUCGGGUGAAUGGUGCACCUUGCGGUGUUUACUAUUUAUUCGGACGAUUUUGUUGGUUCGUUCCUGGUUCUCUUAAUCGAGUGCCUUGAGUGGCCAACACGUUUACUUUGAAAAAAUUGGAGUGCUCAAAGCAGGCGCUACAGCCUGAACAUUAGUGCAUGGAAUAAUGGAAUAGGAUCUCGGUUCUAUUUCGUUGGCUUUCGGAGUCGAGGUAAUGAUUAAUAGGGACAGACGGGGGCAUUCGUACUGCGACGUUAGAGGUGAAAUUCUUGGAUCGUCGCAAGACGAACUACUGCGAAAGCAUUUGCCAAGAAUGUUUUCAUUAAUCAAGAACGAAAGUUAGAGGUUCGAAGGCGAUCAGAUACCGCCCUAGUUCUAACCAUAAACGAUGUCGACCGGCAAUCUGCUCUCGUUAAAUUAAUGACUGAGCAGGCGGCCUGCUGGAAACAAGAGUAUUUGGAUUCCAGGGGGAGUAUGGUUGCAAAGCUGAAACUUAAAAGAAUUGACGGAAGGGCACCUCCAGGAGUGGAGCCUGCGGCUUAAUUUGACCCAACACGGGAAAUCUCACCAGGCCCGGACACCGGAAGGAUUGACAGAUUGAGAGCUCUUUCUUGAUUCGGUGGGUGGUGGUGCAUGGCCGUUCUUAGUUGGUGGAGCGAUUUGUCUGGUUAAUUCCGAUAACGAACGAGACUCUGGCCUACUAAAUAGACGUCAAAUCUUGA
RNAcentral lists this ribosomal RNA (1369 nucleotides) under metagenome. RNAcentral describes it as "SSU rRNA". It matches the Rfam family "Eukaryotic small subunit ribosomal RNA", at positions 3 to 1372 of the family's 1831-position model. The record is from RNAcentral.